CGAGCCUACGGGACGCAGCAGUAGGGAAUCUUCCACAAUGGGCGAAAGCCUGAUGGAGCAACGCCGCGUGGGUGAAGAAGGUCUUCGGAUCGUAAAACCCUGUUGUUAGAGAAGAAAGUGCGUGAGAGUAACUGUUCACAUUUCGACGGUAUCUAACCAGAAAGCCACGGCUAACUACGUGCCAGCAGCCGCGGUAAUACGUAGGUGGCAAGCGUUAUCCGGAGUUAUUGGGCGUAAAGGGAACGCAGGCGGUCUUUUAAGUCUGAUGUGAAAGCCUUAGGCUUAACCGGAGGAGUGAAUUGGAA
RNAcentral lists this ribosomal RNA (305 nucleotides) under uncultured bacterium. RNAcentral describes it as "bacterial SSU rRNA". It matches the Rfam family "Bacterial small subunit ribosomal RNA", at positions 333 to 631 of the family's 1533-position model. The record is from RNAcentral.